GAUGAAGAACGUAGCGAAAUGCGAUAAGUAGUGUGAAUUGCAGAAUUCAGUGAAUCAUCGAAUCUUUGAACGCACAUUGCGCCCCUUGGUAUCCCGAGGGGCAUGCCUGUUCGAGCGUCAUUUCACCACUCAAGCCUGGCUUGGUGUUGGGCGACGUCCUCUUUGGGUACGCGCCUCGAAACGCUCGGCGGCGUGGCACCGGCUUUAAGCGUAGCAGAAUCUUUCGCUUUGGAAGUCGGGGCCCCGUCUGCCGGAAGACCUGCUCGCAAGGUUGACCUCGGAUCAGGCAGGGAUACCCGCUGAACUUAAGCAUAUCAAUAAGCGGAGGA
This 329-nucleotide unclassified non-coding RNA is filed under the name soil metagenome. RNAcentral's name for it is "partial contains 5.8S ribosomal RNA, internal transcribed spacer 2, and large subunit ribosomal RNA". The stretch from base 1 to 120 matches the Rfam family "5.8S ribosomal RNA", at positions 35 to 154 of the family's 154-position model. The record is from RNAcentral.